RNAcentral lists this ribosomal RNA (480 nucleotides) under uncultured bacterium. RNAcentral describes it as "bacterial SSU rRNA". It matches the Rfam family "Bacterial small subunit ribosomal RNA", at positions 28 to 526 of the family's 1533-position model. The record is from RNAcentral.
AAUGAACGUUGGCGGCGUGGAUUAGGCAUGCAAGUCGUACGGGCCGCAAGGCCAGUGGCGCAAGGGUGAGUAAGGCGACGGUAACCAACCCCAUGACUGGGUAUAGCCGCGGGAAACCGCGGGUAAUCCCCAGCGACGUCCGGGGGGGGCAUCCCCCCGGGACCAAAGCUCCGGCGUCGAGGGACGGGCCGUCGUGGUAUUAGCUGGUUGGCGGGGUAACGGCCCACCAAGGCUGCGAUGCCUACCGGGCGUGCGAGCGUGGCCCGGCACACUGGGACUGAGACACUGCCCAGACUCCUACGGGAGGCUGCAGUCGAGAAUCUUCGGCAAUGGGCGCAAGCCUGACCGAGCGACGCCGCGUGGAGGACGAAGGCCUUCGGGUUGUAAACUCCUGUCGAGGGGGAAGAAGGCCCCGAAAGGGGCUUGACUGAUCCCUGGAGGAAGCACGGGCUAAGUUCGUGCCAGCAGCCGCAGUAAGAC